AUGUUGUGGAGAUGAUGAGCUCUUCAUGUCUCUUCUCUGAAUAAAAAUUGUGAGGAGAACUUUUACAGCUCUGAUCUUGGCAU
RNAcentral lists this small nucleolar RNA (83 nucleotides) under Labrus bergylta (ballan wrasse). RNAcentral's name for it is "Small nucleolar RNA SNORD111 (ENSLBEG00000027249.1)". Lineage: Eukaryota; Metazoa; Chordata; Actinopteri; Labriformes; Labridae. The record is from RNAcentral.